CUUCCGUAGGUGAACCUGCGGAAGGAUCAUUAAAAAAUUGGACUUUUUGAGAGUCUAUUAAUAAUCCUCACUCUUUGUGAAUUUGUUUGUUUGAAAUAAUUUUUUAAAAAUUAUUGAAUGUCUUUCCCUAGUUUGUUUGGCUUUUGAUUGAAACUCCAGGGGAAUGGCAAACAAUAAUAUUUAAAGACUUUUUUUAAAAUAAACUUUUGUAUUCAUUUGUCUAAAAUUAUUUUUAUAAUAUAAAAACAACUUUUGACAAUGGAUCUCUUGGUUCUCGCAACGAUGAAGAACGCAGCAAAAUGCGAUAAGUAGUGUGAAUUGCAGAAUACGUGAAUCAUCGAAUCUUCGAACGCAUAUUGCACUUUUUUAGUUUACUAAAAAAGUAUGUCUGUUUGAGUAUCAGUAAAAUAUUCUCAUAAAAAAUAUUAUUUUUUAUGGUUAUGAGUGUUUUACAACGAUACAAGUUGUUUCACUUUAAAUUCUUUGUUAUCAAAAAAGAUCAUUAAACUAAUUUUAAAGAUUUUUUUAAAAUUGGAUAAAAUUUUCCUGUAAAAAGGAAUAACCUAAACAAUUUUAAAAAAUAUUAAAAUUAGCGAUUCUUUUGAAAAAAAAGGAAAAGUUAAAUUAACUUGAUCUCAAAUCAGAUAAGAGUACCCGCUGAACUUAAGCAUAUCAAUAAGCGGAGGAAAAGAAACUAACAAGGAUUCCCUUAGUAACGGCGAGUGAAGCGGGAAGAGCUCAAAUUUGAAAUCUUCAAGGUUUACCUUGACGAAUUGUAGUUUAAAGAAGUGUUUUCUGUUGGAGUUUUGGUAAAAGUUCUUUGGAAUAGGACAUCAUAGAGGGUGAGAAUCCCGUAUUUGACCAUUACUUUCCAGCUGUGUGAUACACUUUCAAAGAGUCGGAUUGUUUGGGAAUGCAGUCCAAAAUGGGUGGUAAAUUUCAUCUAAAGCUAAAUAUUGGCGAGAGACCGAUAGCGAACAAGUACCGUGAGGGAAAGAUGAAAAGAACUUUGAAAAGAGAGUUAAACAGUACGUGAAAUUGUCAAAAGGGAAGCGUUUGACACCAGUGUUGUUUUCUCGAAAAUCAAUUAAAAAUGGCUGAUUUUGUGUUGUAUUGACUUUAUCGGCUUUCUGCACUUUUUUCAUGUCUUUUUUAAUGCACUUUUCGUUUAACAAGUCAACAUCAAUUUCUUUUGUUGUAAAAGAGUCAUUGGAAGGUGGCUUUCGCUUCGGUGAAAGUGUUUAUAGCCUUUGACCUCUGCAAUCGGAGAGAUUGAGGUCUGCAGCGUAGAUCCUUCGGGGUUAGAUACAUUUGUGCUAAGUUAUAGUUUUUCAUAGACAACAUGUUGACUAUGAUUAAUCAUGUAGCUUACUCGCUUAUGCUAUUU
This 1387-nucleotide unclassified non-coding RNA is filed under the name uncultured Neocallimastigales. RNAcentral describes it as "partial contains small subunit ribosomal RNA, internal transcribed spacer 1, 5.8S ribosomal RNA, internal transcribed spacer 2, and large subunit ribosomal RNA". The stretch from base 631 to 1387 matches the Rfam family "Eukaryotic large subunit ribosomal RNA", at positions 1 to 617 of the family's 3401-position model. The record is from RNAcentral. Lineage: Eukaryota; Fungi; Neocallimastigomycota; Neocallimastigomycetes; Neocallimastigales.